UACGGGGGGGGCAAGCGUUGUUCGGAAUUACUGGGCGUAAAGGGCUCGUAGGCGGCCAACUAAGUCAGACGUGAAAUCCCUCGGCUUAACCGGGGAACUGCAUCUGAUACUGGAUGGCUUGAGAUUGGGAGAGGGAUGCGGAAUUCCAGGUGUAGCGGUGAAAUGCGUAGAUAUCUAGAGGAACACCGGUGGCGAAGGCGGCAUCCUGGACCAAUACUGACGCUGAGGAGCGAAAGCCAGGGGAGCAAACGGG
This 253-nucleotide ribosomal RNA is filed under the name uncultured bacterium. RNAcentral's name for it is "partial 16S ribosomal RNA". It matches the Rfam family "Bacterial small subunit ribosomal RNA", at positions 524 to 776 of the family's 1533-position model. The record is from RNAcentral.